GGAGAGUUGGCUGAGUGGUCGAAAGCGCUCCCCUGCUAAGGGAGUAUGCGUUAAAAGCGUAUCGAGGGUUCGAAUCCCUCACUCUCCGCCA
Molecule: transfer RNA, 91 nt
Filed under: Gammaproteobacteria bacterium
Lineage: Bacteria; Pseudomonadati; Pseudomonadota; Gammaproteobacteria
Also listed under: 1 other name
Description: tRNA-Ser
Rfam family: tRNA
About the family: Transfer RNA (tRNA) molecules are approximately 80 nucleotides in length. Their secondary structure includes four short double-helical elements and three loops (D, anti-codon, and T loops).
Source: RNAcentral